RNAcentral lists this transfer RNA (77 nucleotides) under Clostridiaceae bacterium BRH_c20a. RNAcentral describes it as "tRNA-Arg". It matches the Rfam family "tRNA". From Rfam's summary of the family: Transfer RNA (tRNA) molecules are approximately 80 nucleotides in length. Their secondary structure includes four short double-helical elements and three loops (D, anti-codon, and T loops). Lineage: Bacteria; Bacillati; Bacillota; Clostridia; Eubacteriales; Clostridiaceae. The record is from RNAcentral.
GCGCCCGUAGCUCAGGUGGACAGAGCGACGGUUUCCUAAACCGUGUGCCAGGGGUUCGAGUCCCUUCGGGCGCGCCA